This 253-nucleotide ribosomal RNA is filed under the name uncultured bacterium. Its description in RNAcentral is "partial 16S ribosomal RNA". It matches the Rfam family "Bacterial small subunit ribosomal RNA", at positions 524 to 776 of the family's 1533-position model. The record is from RNAcentral.
UACAGAGGUCUCAAGCGUUGUUCGGAUUCAUUGGGCGUAAAGGGUGCGUAGGCGGCGCGGUAAGUCGGGUGUGAAAUCUCGGAGCUUAACUCCGAAACUGCAUUCGAUACUGCCGUGCUUGAGGACUGGAGAGGAGACUGGAAUUUACGGUGUAGCGGUGAAAUGCGUAGAUAUCGUAAGGAAGACCAGUGGCGAAGGCGGGUCUCUGGACAGUCCCUGACGCUGAGGCACGAAGGUCAGGGGAGCAAACGGG